Molecule: ribosomal RNA, 233 nt
Filed under: uncultured bacterium
Lineage: Bacteria
Description: partial 16S ribosomal RNA
Rfam family: Bacterial small subunit ribosomal RNA
Source: RNAcentral
CGGGACGGGUGAGUAAUGUCUGGGAAAUUGCCCGAUGGAGGGGGAUAACUACUGGAAACGGUAGCUAAUACCGCAUAACGUCGCAAGACCAAAGAGGGGGACCUUCGGGCCUCUUGCCAUCGGAUGUGCCCAGAUGAGAUUAGCUAGUAGGUGGGGUAACGGCUCACCUAGGCGACGAUCCCUAGCUGGUCUGAGAGGAUGACCAGCCACACUGGAACUGAGACACGGUCCAG